UGGGGAAUAUUGCACAAUGGGGGAAACCCUGAUGCAGCGACGCCGCGUGAACGAAGAAGGUAUUCGUAUCGUAAAGUUCUGUCCUAUGGGAAGAUAAUGACAGUACCAUAGAAGAAAGCUCAGGCUAAAUACGUGCCAGCAGCCGCGGUAAUACGUAUGGAGCGAGCGUUGUCCGGAAUUAUUGGGCGUAAAGGGUACGCAGGCGGUUUAAUAAGUCGAAUGUUAAAGAUCGGGGCUCAACCCCGCAAAGCAUUGGAAACUGAUAAACUUGAGUAGUGGAGAGGAAAGUGGAAUUCCUAGUGUAGUGGUGAAAUACGUAGAUAUUAGGAGGAAUACCAGUAGCGAAGGCGACUUUCUGGACACAAACUGACGAUGAGGUACGAAAGCGUGGGGAGCAAACAGG
Molecule: ribosomal RNA, 403 nt
Filed under: bacterium
Lineage: Bacteria
Description: partial 16S ribosomal RNA
Rfam family: Bacterial small subunit ribosomal RNA
Source: RNAcentral